Molecule: ribosomal RNA, 465 nt
Filed under: uncultured bacterium
Lineage: Bacteria
Description: partial 16S ribosomal RNA
Rfam family: Bacterial small subunit ribosomal RNA
Source: RNAcentral
GAUGAACGCUGGCGGCGUGCUUAACACAUGCAAGUCGAACGGAAAGGCCCCUGCUUGCAGGGGUACUCGAGUGGCGAACGGGUGAGUAACACGUGGGUGAUCUGCCCUGCACUUCGGGAUAAGCCUGGGAAACUGGGUCUAAUACCGGAUAGGACGAUGGUUUGGAUGCCAUUGUGGAAAGUUUUUCGGUGUGGGAUGAGCUCGCGGCCUAUCAGCUUAUUGGUGGGGUAAUGGCUUACCAAGGCGUCGACGGGUAGCCGGCCUGAGAGGGUGUACGGCCACAUUGGGACUGAGAUACGGCCCAGACUCCUACGGGAGGCAGCAGUGGGGAAUAUUGCACAAUGGGCGCAAGCCUGAUGCAGCGACGCCGCGUGGGGGAUGACGGCCUUCGGGUUGUAAACUCCUUUCGUCAGGGACGAAGCGAAAGUGACGGUACCUGGAUAAGAAGCACCGGCUAACUACGUG